RNAcentral lists this long non-coding RNA (6346 nucleotides) under Spirodela polyrhiza (greater duckweed). RNAcentral's name for it is "long non-coding RNA (SPOL_LNC000148)". The record is from RNAcentral. Lineage: Eukaryota; Viridiplantae; Streptophyta; Magnoliopsida; Alismatales; Araceae.
GGCAGGUUCGCACAGGAGGGGUGCAGGUUCACGCCCCUGUCCUUGCAGUGGUAGAAGUAACCUUUCACACUUUUCCCGCAGGCGACGCAGAGCCGUUUAUCCGUCUUGCCUUUGCGUUGCGGCCCAUGUUCCACCAAUUCGAAAAGAGAGUUCUUGUAGUAACGGAUGUGUGAGAUAUUUUUUCGGCUCGGCGCAGUGGCGAUGGAGGUGGAAGGUACACGAGGCUAUUUCGCACGAGUAGCAGGGGGAGGAGAACCCAAACACCUUGCAGGCCUCACACCAAAAGGGGGCUUUAGUGCGCUGAAGCUUGAGCUUGUGCCCUCGGACUCGGUGCAGUGGAUGGUCGAUGCUGAUCACUGGGCUCCGGCUCAUUUUCUUCUGCGCUGUUUGCCACAGAGAGGAGAUGAUACUGGUUAUCUGCACGAGGGGAGAGGGAGCGAGUGAUGGUACGGACCAGAGAGGGAAGAAGGUCCCAUAUGUAUAGGAGCGUGCUUCUAUUGAGAAAAAACAAUAAAAUGAAAUGACGAGCUGGGGGAGCUGCUCAGUGGCGUCACCAUCACCACGUAUGUAGCUGUCAGCUCUAUCUCUAUCUCUCUCUCUCUCUCUCUCUCUCUCUGUGGUCUCUCUGGAGGACUCGCUGUAAAGGAACACCGAGAAAGGAAUUUAUGCCGGUGAUGUGAUACGCAUCACUAAUCUCUUCCUAAUUCUGAGCUUGUGAGAUCGUCACCAAGCGACACCUUCCUCCUUUCGUUCCGUCACGGCGGGUUCUUCCCUGAAUUGAUCAAUGCCAUGUGCAUUUAUACAGGAGAUUGCUCUAGUAUAAUUUGUGAAAAACUCCGCGAUCACAUCACUGUAGAGAAUAACUGAUCCGAAACCAGGUCGAUCGUCCGUCGUCUUCUGUAACAACAGAGUUAUUGGGAUUGAAGAGCCAGGAAGAAUGACGAAAAACAAAAAAAAAAUCUUACGCAGAGAGCUGCUAGGAUGCACAUGUGUCAAAAAACAUCUGGGAUCAUCGUGGCUCAGAGAAAGUACGAGAGGAAUUCUGUAAUAUGUGGCGCGCAUUUGAAAUUUCCAUAACGGGGAUCAAACUCCACGUCGAAGUAAAACCUAGAGAUCUACAUCGCCGGUCACACCGCUCCGAUGACUUCUAUUUCUCACCGUGAGAAUGCAAGAAAAACGGCAUCUUGAAGAUGGCCGCGUCUCUCUCUCUCUCUCUCUCUCUCUCUCUCUCUCUCUCUCUCUUUCUCAUUAGUCUCCCGGUCAAACCGUUGGAAAAAUCGGGAGCCCAUUGGGUCAGGAAGAUAGGGACAGAGAGUCUUGUGUUAGAUUUUCACUCGAACUUCGGGUCGAAGCAACGAGUGAGGGGGAACUAGGAAGCCGCUCUUAUCGUUUUCGCACAGUACUCAUUUCGAAAGGACUCACUUCGGAAGGACUUGCAUUUCCUUCGCUGUCGGUAUACCGACUUUUUUCCGGCCUUCUUCCAUUAUUUUAAUAAUUUGUAAUAGUUUAAGCACCCUUCAAUGAUCGCCGCAUUGAAGGGUUCCUUUAGAUUAGCCGCGAUCUCCACCUAUCUCUCUCUCUCUCUCAAUCUCUUCUGAUGUGCACCCACUUAAGAGAAAGAAGAGAGAGGAACAGGGUAUGAGGACAGAGAGAGAGAGAGAGAGAGGGCAGCUCGUCAUGGAGGACGAACCCAGGAUGUAGGUGGCCUUCAGGGGAUUCCCGUUCCCAAUACGAGGAAUAUGAGAGUUGACUGGCAUGUCGCAGAGUAAUCCCACCUGAAGCUAAUACGAAGAUUACAUUGAAUUUUUACCUGCCAGCUGCAAACAUUCGAAACACAGUAAGAUCAAAAUCGUAUGUUCAUGAUCUCGCUGUCGGCUCUGCUCGCGAGUGACACAGUACAGUCAACUGGGGAUGAUUCCCACAAAAGUUUCUAUAAUCUCCAUGGACUCUGUUGGAUUUGAUACCUCUGUAAACGCUGAAAUUUCUUUAUAACCAUGGGAAUACAAGAAGAACGCCAUCUUGAAGAUGGGCAGAUUUUUCAAGACAAGGUAGAGAUCAGCUAGAGAGUAGGGUAGCGGAUAUGCCGACUACGAUAGAGAAUGGAUCUCCGAGUAAGGCGGCGACGAUGACCGGAACUGCUGCUUGAGCCGCCGCCUUCAUCGCCGCCAACUUUCUCCCGGGACGGCGCUUCUUUUCCCCGACGGGAAGCUUGAGCAUCGGCGUCCUCUUCACCGAUUCACUGCCGCCGUCCUCGACGGCGGAGCCCCCCUGAGAGCUAUCCUCUUUGUUAAGCCAGCUAUCCAGGAACAGAUCCUUCACGCAGGAUAUAUGAAGGGCGACGGUCUUGCAGGUGGAGACGUAGCACCACGAAGACUUCCCGUGAUUCUUCCCAUCCCAGCCACACGCCUCGCACUCAAAGAGCAGCUCCUUCUUGAGCUCCAGCCUCAGGUCCCCGUCGACGAGGACUCGGGGCAGGUUCGCACAGGUGGGGUGCAGGUCGUUGCCGCAGUCGUAGCAGUGGUAGAACGAGCCCUCGGCACUUUCCCCGCAGGCGUCGCAGUCCUGUUCACGCGGUUCGCCUUUGCGUUGCAGCCCAUGUGUCACCAAUCGGAAACGACAGCUCUUGAACAACGGAUGUUUGAGAGACCUUUGCGGCUUGCCGCAGUGGCGAUGGAGGUGGAAGGUACACGUGGCUACUUCGCACGAGUAGCAGGAGUAGAACCCUAGCUCCUUGCAGCCAUCACAGUAGAAGGGGUCUUCCCUACGCUGAAGCCUGAGCUUGUGCCCUCGGUGCAGCGGAUGGUCGAUGUUACAGAUCACUGCCUUCUGGCUCAUCUCCUUCUCCGCUGUAUGCCAAAGAGAGAUGGGAUAGAGGGAGCGAGUGAUGGUACAGACCAGAGAGGGAAGGUUCGACUUAUAGACCAGAGAGGGGGAGGGUGGGGGGCCAUCAAGAAAAAAUCGACAUGGGUCAACCCAUUACCUCCACCUCCGAAUUUAGGCGGGAAAUUUCCACGGGGCCCGCAGAAACUUCUUGGCCAAGCUUCCCAACGCUUAGACUGGAGGAGUCUUUGUCGAUGCCUCUAUUGAGAAAAAAAUAAAAAAUGAAAUGACGAGCUGGGGGAGCUGCUCAAUGGCGUCACCAUCUCCACGUAUGUAGCUAUCUCAGCUCUCUCUCUCUCUCUCUCUCUCUCUCUCUCUCUGUGGUUUUUCUCUGGAGGAGUCGCUGUAAAGGAACACCGAGCAAGGAAUUCAUACCGGUGUUGUGAUACCUAUCACUAAUCUCCUCCUAAUUCUGAGCUCGUGAGAUCGUCACCAAGCGACACCUUCCUCCUUUCGUUCCAUCACGGCGGGUUCUUCCCUGAAUUGAUCAAUGCCAUGUGCAUUCAUACAGGAGAUUGCUCCAGUAUAAUUUGUGGAAUACUCUGCGAUCACAUCACUAUAGAGAAUAACUGAUCCCGAAACCAGGUCGCUCGUUCGCCGUCUUCUGUAACAACAGAGUUAUUGAGAUUGAAGAGCCGAGAAGGAGGACGAAAAAAAAAAAUCUUACGCAGAGAGUUGCUAAGAUGGACAUGUAUCAAAAAACAUCUGGGAUCAUCGUGGCUCAGAGAAAGUACGAGAGAAAUGCUGUAAUAUGUGGCGCGCAUUUGAAAUUUCCAUAACGGGGAUCAAACUCCACGUCGAAGUAAAACCUAGAGAUCUACAUCGCCGGUCAGCCUUGAACUAUCAAGUGAUCUGGCACCGGUUUAGGCGCUCGUGAACUUGGUGACCGCCUUGGUGCCCUCGGAGACUGCAUGCUUCGCCAGCUCGCCGGGGAGCACGAGGCGGACGGAGGUCUGAAUCUCCCGGGAGGUAAUGGUGGGCUUCUUGUUGUAUCGCGCAAGGCGAGAGGCCUCGUGAGCGAGCUUCUCGAAGAUGUCGUUGAUGAAGCUGUUCAUGAUUCCCAUGGCCUUGCUGGAGAUGCCAAUGUCGGGGUGGACCUGCUUCAACACCUUGAAGAUGUACAUCUUGUACGUCUCGGUGCCCUUUUUCGUCUUCUUCUUCUUCUUCUCGCCGGAGGCGUCCUUGGAAGGCAGCCUCUUCUCCGCCUUCGGCUUCUUCUCUGCGGGCGCCUUCUCCCCCGCCGCCUUCUUCUCCUCCGUCGCCUUGUCGGCGGCGGGCUUCUUCUCCGCCUUCGGCGCCAUUAUCUCCGGAUCUGUGCAGUGCGGAGGAAGAAGAAGCAGGAGCUCCAACAGAAAGGCGAUCGAGACAGCAGCACCUGGGCAUAAAUAUAUAUAGGCCGAAUGGAAGUACGCUCUGAUUGGGUGAACCACGGAUCAUCGCGCUGGCAGCAUGUAGACCGUCGGAUGAUGAUAAAAUGACUGGCUCGACCCUCAUGCUCGCCCUUUAACGGCGGUGGGCCGUCUGAUCUAAUGUGAACGUCUUCGAUGAUCUACUCUCAUUAAUAAAUGCUAAUAAUUACGAUAUUUUUUCUAUGGAUUUUAGCAACCAGAAUCGAUUCUCAACAAGGUAGGAUCCGUACCCCUUGAAUAGUGUACAAUACGUGCCGAAUCAGAUGGUAGAGAAUCGGAUCCAAGCAGACCUAGUUGAGGAUGAUCCCAAUCAACUCUAAUGGCUCACCACCGUCGGAUUGAUGAGGCUAGAGAUAAGACAAACGGCACAAUGUUUCUGGGCAUAAACCCUUCCAUGCGUAGAAGCUUUUGAUUUGAACCGAAAAAUAAUAUAUUUAUAAUAAUGUCCUUUCCUUUCGCUCACUUUUCCACACUCUGUUCCCAACAUGAACUGCUCGGCAACUAAUUUUCAGCAUGCUCCAGCAGACUAGCAGCAGUAGGGGAGAGAGAGAGAGAGAGUCCAGCUGAAGGGCUAUCUAGAGAAGGCAACUAGGAGCCUAAUUGGGCGAGGAUCUCCACACUAAGUAGCUGGACAGGGCUGCCAUUUACAGCAGUAUAAUGGUCAAACUUCGGGACUAAGCAACUAGUGAGGGUGUUCUGGGAAGCCGCUGUUAUCGUUUUCCAACAGUAAUCAUUUCGGCAGGAUUUCCAUUCCCUUGCAGGGGAAACAGAAUAAAAAAUGAUAAUAUCUUACGCGGUCGAUAUAUCUACUCUUCUCCGCCUUCUUCCCUUCUUUCAAUAGUUUGUAAUAGUCCAAUGAUCGCCGCAUGGAAGAGUUCCCUCUGAUUAGCCGCGAUCUCCACCUCUCUCUCUCUCUCUCUCUCUCCCUCUCUCAAUCUCGUCUGACAUGCAACCACUUGAGAGAAAGAAGAGAGAGGAAGAGGGUGGAGAGAGGGAGAGAUGGCAGCUGCCUCAUGGAGGAUGAACCCAGGAUGUGGGUGGUCUUCAGGGGAUUCCCAUCCCCAAUUAGAGGAAUAGGAGAGUUGACUGGCAUGUCACAGAGUAAUCCCACCUGAAGCUAAUAUGAAGAUUACGUUCGAUUGUUAUCUGCCUGUUGGAGACAUUUGAAACCCAGUGAUAUCUAUACAUAGAUUAAAUCAUAUGCUUAUGAUCUAGAUGUCAACUCUGCUUUCGAGUGGCACAGUUCGUCUUAACAACCACGCGAAUUCAAGAAGGAUAGAUUCCACACCCAGAAAAGAAAAGAGAGAUUUUUCAAGAGAGACUGAUGAUGGUAACAAUUACGCCGACUAAGGAGAUUGGAUCCCCGAGUAAGACGCCGAGGAUGAUCGAAACUGCUUGUUGAAACCUCUUCUUUAUCUUCGCUAGUUUCCCCUUGGAGAGGCCCUUCCUUUCCCUGACGACAAGCUGGAGCAUCGGCGUUUUCUUCACCAAUUUAUUGCCGCCGUCCUCGACGGCGGAGCGCCCCUGAGAGCUAUCCUUUCUCUUCAGGAAGUUAUCCAGGAGCAGAUCGUUCAUGCAGGAUAUAUGAAAGGCGACGUUCUCUCGUCUGGAGACGUAGCCCCACGAAGUCUUCCCAUGGUUCUUCUCAGCCCAGCCACACUUCUCGCACCCAAAGGGCAGCUUCUUCUUGAGCUUCAGCUCCAGCUUCAGUUUCUUAUCGACGAGGACUUCGGGCAGGUUCGCACAGGAGGGGUGCAGGUCCUUGCCGCAGUCGUAGCAGUGGUAGAACAAGCCCGUGGCAAGUUCCCCGCAAGCGUUGCAGAACUGCUCGCGCAGUUUGCCUUUGCGCCACAGCCCAUGUGUCACCAAUUGGAAACGACAACUCUUGAAAAACGGAUGUUCGAGAGACCUCUCCGCCUUGGCGCAGUGGGGAUGGAGGUGGAAGGUACGCUUGCCUGCUUCGCACGAGUAGCAGGUGAAGGAGAACCCUCGCAUAUCGCAGGCAUCACAGCAAAAGGGGCCUUCAGUGCGCUGAAGCUUGAACUGGCGCCCUGGGU